UACGUAGGUGGCAAGCGUUGUCCGGAAUUAUUGGGCGUAAAGAGCUCGUAGGCGGUCUGUCGCGUCGGAUGUGAAAACUCGGGGCUCAACCCCGAGCCUGCAUUCGAUACGGGCAGACUAGAGUUCGGUAGGGGAGACUGGAAUUCCCGGUGUAGCGGUGAAAUGCGUAGAUAUCGGGAGGAACAUCAGUGGCGAAGGCGGCUGCCUGGCCCAAUACUGACACUCAGGUGCGACAGCGUGGGGAGCAAACAGG
Molecule: ribosomal RNA, 253 nt
Filed under: uncultured bacterium
Lineage: Bacteria
Description: partial 16S ribosomal RNA
Rfam family: Bacterial small subunit ribosomal RNA
Source: RNAcentral